RNAcentral lists this transfer RNA (96 nucleotides) under Burkholderia gladioli. RNAcentral's name for it is "tRNA-SeC". It matches the Rfam family "Selenocysteine transfer RNA". RNAcentral also lists the same sequence under 3 other names. The record is from RNAcentral. Lineage: Bacteria; Pseudomonadati; Pseudomonadota; Betaproteobacteria; Burkholderiales; Burkholderiaceae.
GGAAGGCAUUCGCAUCCGGUGGUGCGGCCAGGCUUCAAACCUGGUUGGGGACGUCAAUCGUUCCCGGGUCGGUUCGACUCCGGCUGCCUUCCGCCA